CCUACGGGAGGCAGCAGUGGGGAAUAUUGGACAAUGGGAGCAACCCUGAUCCAGCCAUGCCGCGUGAGUGAUGAAGGCUCUAGGGUUGUAAAGCUCUUUCGCCGAUGAAGAUAAUGACGGUAGUCGGAGAAGAAGCCCCGGCUAACUUCGUGCCAGCAGCCGCGGUAAUACGUAGGGUGCGAGCGUUAAUCGGAAUUACUGGGCGUAAAGCGUGCGCAGGCGGCUCACUAAGACAGGCGUGAAAUCCCCGGGCUUAACCUGGGAACUGCGCUUGUGACUGCAAGGCUAGAGUACGGCAGAGGGGGGUGGAAUUCCACGUGUAGCAGUGAAAUGCGUAGAGAUGUGGAGGAACACCAAUGGCGAAGGCAGCCCCCUGGGUCGAUACUGACGCUCAUGCACGAAAGCGUGGGUAGCAAACAGGAUUAGAUACCCUGGUAGUCCACGCCCUAAACUAUGUCAACUAGGUGUUGGGUGGGUAAAACCAUUUAGUACCGUAGCUAACGCGUGAAGUUGACCGCCUGGGGAGUACGGCCGCAAGGUUAAAACUCAAAUGAAUUGACGGAAU
Molecule: ribosomal RNA, 565 nt
Filed under: uncultured bacterium
Lineage: Bacteria
Description: bacterial SSU rRNA
Rfam family: Bacterial small subunit ribosomal RNA
Source: RNAcentral